AAUGCUAAUACCGCAUGACAUAUCGGAACCACAUGGUUCUGAUAUCAAAGAUUUUAUCGCUUGAAGAUGGACUCGCGUCCGAUUAGUUAGUUGGUGAGGUAACGGCUCACCAAGACCGCGAUCGGUAGCCGGACUGAGAGGUUGAACGGCCACAUUGGGACUGAGACACGGCCCAGACUCCUACGGGAGGCAGCAGUGGGGGAUAUUGCGCAAUGGGGGCAACCCUGACGCAGCAACGCCGCGUGAAGGAUGAAGGUUUUCGGAUUGUAAACUUCUUUUAUUAAGGACGAAAAAUGACGGUACUUAAUGAAUAAGCUCCGGCUAACUACGUGCCAGCAGCCGCGGUAAUACGUAGGGAGCAAGCGUUGUCCGGAUUUACUGGGUGUAAAGGGUGCGUAGGCGGCUUUGUAAGUCAGAUGUGAAAUCUAUGGGCUCAACCCAUAAACUGCAUUUGAAACUGUAGAGCUUGAGUGAAGUAGAGGCAGGCGGAAUUCCCCGUGUAGCGGUGAAAUGCGUAGAGAUGGGGAGGAACACCAGUGGCGAAGGCGGCCUGCUGGGCUUUAACUGACGCUGAGGCACGAAAGCGUGGGUAGCAAACAGGAUUAGAUACCCUGGUAGUCCACGCUGUAAACGAUGAUUACUAGGUGUGGGGGGUCUGACCCCUUCCGUGCCGGAGUUAACACAAUAAGUAAUCCACCUGGGGAGUACGGCCGCAAGGUU
Molecule: ribosomal RNA, 720 nt
Filed under: uncultured bacterium
Lineage: Bacteria
Description: bacterial SSU rRNA
Rfam family: Bacterial small subunit ribosomal RNA
Source: RNAcentral